GCUCCGUAGGUGAACCUGCGGAGGGAUCAUUAAAAAAAGAGUUGCGAGACUCGGAAACCAUCGCGAACCUACCCCAGUAUGCUUCGGCGGGCGGCCCCAGGCGGGGCCGCAGCCCGGGGGGGCGCCCGCCGGAGGACCGCAAGACCCUGUUUUCAUAGCGUCUCUCUGAGUGGAAUAGCAAAAUGAGUCAAAACCUUCAACAACGGAUCUCUUGGUUCUG
This 220-nucleotide unclassified non-coding RNA is filed under the name plant metagenome. RNAcentral's name for it is "partial contains small subunit ribosomal RNA, internal transcribed spacer 1, and 5.8S ribosomal RNA". The record is from RNAcentral.